GGUGAACGUUGGCGGUGCGUCUAAUACAUGCAAGUCGAGCGAGGCUUCGAGCCGAGCGGCGGAUGGCUGAGUAACACGUUGGUAACUACCUCGAACUCAGGGAUAAGCGCGAGAAAUUGCGUCUAAUACCGGAUAGUCCCGAAAGGGUAAAGAUUUUUCGGUUCGAGAGGUGCCUGCGGCCUAUCAGCUAGUUGGUGAGGUAAUGGCUCACCAAGGCUAUGACGGGUAGCUGGUCUGAGAGGAUGAUCAGCCAGAGGGAGACUGAGACACGGCUCCC
Molecule: ribosomal RNA, 277 nt
Filed under: uncultured bacterium
Lineage: Bacteria
Description: partial 16S ribosomal RNA
Rfam family: Bacterial small subunit ribosomal RNA
Source: RNAcentral